RNAcentral lists this ribosomal RNA (206 nucleotides) under uncultured bacterium. RNAcentral's name for it is "partial 16S ribosomal RNA". It matches the Rfam family "Bacterial small subunit ribosomal RNA", at positions 524 to 729 of the family's 1533-position model. The record is from RNAcentral.
GACGAAGGGGGCUAGCGUUGUUCGGAAUUACUGGGCGUAAAGCGCGUGUAGGCGGUUGUUCAAGUCAGGUGUGAAAGCCUUGAGCUCAACUCAAGAAAUGCACUUGAUACUGGAUGACUAGAGGACCGGAGAGGAUAGUGGAAUUCCCAGUGUAGUGGUGAAAUACGUAGAGAUUGGGAAGAACACCAGUGGCGAAGGCGGCUAUC